GAUGAAGAACGUAGCGAAAUGCGAUACUUGGUGUGAAUUGCAGAAUCCCGUGAACCAUCGAGUCUUUGAACGCAAGUUGCGCCCGAAGCCAUUAGGCCGAGGGCACGCCUGCCUGGGCGUCACACGUCGUUGCCCCCCCAUCUACUCCUUCGGGAUUGCGGGGGGCGGAUGAUGGCCUCCCGUGCGCCUCGUCGCGCGGUUGGCCUAAAUGCCAAGUCCUCGGCGACGCACGCCACGACAAUCGGUGGUUGCGAAACCUCGGUUGCCUGUCGUGUGCGGUCGUCGCGCAUCGAGGGCUCGAAAAAAUUGCCGGGCUCCGGCUCGGCUUUCAACGCGACCCCAGGUCAGGCGGGGUUACCUGCUGAAUUUAAGCAUAUCAAUAAGCGGAGGA
Molecule: unclassified non-coding RNA, 391 nt
Filed under: soil metagenome
Description: partial contains 5.8S ribosomal RNA, internal transcribed spacer 2, and large subunit ribosomal RNA
Rfam family: 5.8S ribosomal RNA (bases 1-122)
Source: RNAcentral